Molecule: ribosomal RNA, 403 nt
Filed under: Verrucomicrobiota bacterium
Lineage: Bacteria; Pseudomonadati; Verrucomicrobiota
Description: Verrucomicrobia bacterium partial 16S ribosomal RNA
Rfam family: Bacterial small subunit ribosomal RNA
Source: RNAcentral
UGGGGAAUAUUGCACAAUGGGCGCAAGCCUGAUGCAGCAACGCCGCGUGAACGAUGAAGGUCUUCGGAUCGUAAAGUUCUGUUGCAGGGGAAGAUAAUGACGGUACCCUGUGAGGAAGCCCCGGCUAACUACGUGCCAGCAGCCGCGGUAAUACGUAGGGGGCUAGCGUUAUCCGGAUUUACUGGGCGUAAAGGGUGCGUAGGUGGUCUUUCAAGUCGGUGGUUAAAGGCUACGGCUCAACCGUAGUUAGCCUCCGAAACUGGAAGACUUGAGUGCAGGAGAGGAAAGUGGAAUUCCCAGUGUAGCGGUGAAAUGCGUAGAUAUUGGGAGGAACACCAGUAGCGAAGGCGGCUUUCUGGCCAUAAUCUGACGCUGAGGUACGAAAGCGUGGGUAGCAAACAGG